Molecule: ribosomal RNA, 488 nt
Filed under: uncultured bacterium
Lineage: Bacteria
Description: bacterial SSU rRNA
Rfam family: Bacterial small subunit ribosomal RNA
Source: RNAcentral
AUUGAACGCUGGCGGCAUGCCUAACACAUGCAAGUCGAACGGUAACGCGGAGAGCUUGCUCUCUGGCGACGAGUGGCGGACGGGUGAGUAAUACUUAGGAAUCUGCCCAUUAGUGGGGGACAACUCGAGGAAACUCGAGCUAAUACCGCAUACGCCCUACGGGGGAAAGCGGGGGAUCUUCGGACCUCGCGCUAUUGGAUGAGCCUAAGUCGGAUUAGCUUGUUGGUGAGGUAAAGGCUCACCAAGGCGACGAUCCGUAGCUGGUCUGAGAGGACGAUCAGCCACACUGGGACUGAGACACGGCCCAGACUCCUACGGGAGGCAGCAGUGGGGAAUAUUGGACAAUGGGCGCAAGCCUGAUCCAGCAAUGCCGCGUGUGUGAAGAAGGCCUGCGGGUUGUAAAGCACUUUCAGUAGAGAAGAAAAGCCUAGGGUUAAUACCCCUGAGUCUUGACGUUACCUACAGAAGAAGCACCGGCUAACUCCGUG